Molecule: ribosomal RNA, 253 nt
Filed under: uncultured bacterium
Lineage: Bacteria
Description: partial 16S ribosomal RNA
Rfam family: Bacterial small subunit ribosomal RNA
Source: RNAcentral
UACAGAGGUGGCAAGCGUUGUUCGGAAUUACUGGGCGUAAAGGGCGCGUAGGCGGCCCGUCAAGUCCCGUGUGAAAGCCCCCGGCUCAACCGGGGAACGGCGCGGGAAACUAGCAGGCUUGAGUUCGGGAGAGGGAAGCGGAAUUCCGGGUGUAGCGGUGAAAUGCGUAGAUAUCUGGAGGAACACCGGUGGCGAAGGCGACAUCCUGGACCGGUAUUGACGCUGAGGCGCGAAAGCCAGGGGAGCAAACGGG